Stomoxys calcitrans (stable fly) is the source of this 1091-nucleotide long non-coding RNA. RefSeq lists it as uncharacterized. NCBI's taxonomy places the organism in Eukaryota, Metazoa, Arthropoda, Insecta, Diptera, Muscidae. The record is from RefSeq and is a predicted model, not a curated record. The transcript has 3 exons.
GGAGGGUCCGAACUGUCUCAGCGGAGAAAGGGGACAUAGUGUGCUGGCGAGCGCUGGCUGUUGGCGUUAGAGCUCCGGCUGUGGCUCAGUCUGGGGCGCGGUUCUUGCCAACACACCAUGUCCAGAGACAGGUGACAAAAAAAAUUCAAAUUUCAAACCAGCUCUGGAUGGAAAUGAAAAACACAGGGUCCCACUUAUGUUAAGGCAGGCAUGUCUUUCGCCUUCUUACUCGCACCUUCCGCUAUGGAUUCGCUCUUCAGGGGGCACUGAGACAUCCUACAGUGCCCUGGACGGCCCACCCCAACCAUGGUAUCCGUUGUCCAACAGUUUUGGAUACCCCAGAAUCGGUCUCCCUUAUCCCCCCUUACAGCUUGGUGCACUACCCCCUUCUUACCUUAGAUAACUACUCCUCCAUUGUGAAAUGAAAACUAGGCAAAGGCGAAUUUCAUUUCAAACGUUAUAAACGGUAUGUAUUUAUUAAGCCGAAUCAAAAAUUCAUUGCCAGACAAAGUUCAAUCAAACGAAAAAAAAAGCAAAGAAAACAAAACAAGGAAUUGUAUAGUGGCAAUUAAAAAACUUCGUUUAUAUAAACUCCUCUCCUUCAAAGAGAAAAAUAGUAAUAAAAUUCUCCUUCCUCCACAGGUGUAUUGGGUCUUCUCAUGGUGUCUGGCCUUCCUUCAGGGUCGUCUCUCCUAACUGGAGUCAGUGCUGGAGCGGCUGAGCAGUGCCCACGCUUUCCUCUUGUCUGUCCGUCCGUCUGGUUGUGGCCUAAGUUCGCAAAGCGAACACCAACAGCAGUAAGGGCUCCUUUCCGCCCAAAAGGUCUAGAAUCUUUACCCCCUGGCCCUAGGUUGAGCUCGACCUAACAGCUGAGGACAGCGCCUAUUUAUUCUAGCGCUGUGUUACUAAUAGAAAGGAAAUAUGUGUGUCAAGGUCCUGUCCGUCCGUCUGAGUUCACGUAUACGUCCCGCAAUAGUGUUCGUGAGGAAAAGGGUACCUGCAGCACUGUCGGCUGACCAGUGCUUUUGAUAUAGAGCUUCCCACGAUGGACAGAGGAGGUGGAGGUGUAGCUUUAUGUUUUCGCGUUUGGC